UACGGAGGGGGCUAGCGUUGUUCGGAAUUACUGGGCGUAAAGCGCACGUAGGCGGCUUUGUAAGUUAGAGGUGAAAGCCCAGGGCUUAACCCUGGAAUUGCCUUUAAGACUGCAUCGCUAGAAUCGUGGAGAGGUGAGUGGAAUUCCGAGUGUAGAGGUGAAAUUCGUAGAUAUUCGGAAGAACACCAGUGGCGAAGGCGACUCACUGGACACGGUAUUGACGCUGAGGUGCGAAAGCGUGGGGAGCAAACAGG
Molecule: ribosomal RNA, 254 nt
Filed under: uncultured bacterium
Lineage: Bacteria
Description: partial 16S ribosomal RNA
Rfam family: Bacterial small subunit ribosomal RNA
Source: RNAcentral